This 496-nucleotide ribosomal RNA is filed under the name Yarrowia lipolytica. RNAcentral's name for it is "eukaryotic LSU rRNA". It matches the Rfam family "Eukaryotic large subunit ribosomal RNA", at positions 87 to 667 of the family's 3401-position model. The record is from RNAcentral. Lineage: Eukaryota; Fungi; Ascomycota; Dipodascomycetes; Dipodascales.
CGGCGAGUGAGCGGCAAAAGCUCAAAUUUGAAACCCUCGGGAUUGUAAUUUGAAGAUUUGGCAUUGGAGAAAGCUAACCCAAGUUGCUUGGAAUAGUACGUCAUAGAGGGUGACAACCCCGUCUGGCUAACCGUUCUCCAUGUAUUGCCUUAUCAAAGAGUCGAGUUGUUUGGGAAUGCAGCUCAAAGUGGGUGGUAAACUCCAUCUAAAGCUAAAUACUGGUGAGAGACCGAUAGCGAACAAGUACUGUGAAGGAAAGGUGAAAAGAACUUUGAAAAGAGAGUGACUAGUAUGUGAAAUUGUUGAUAGGGAAGGAAAUGAGUGGAGAGUGGCCGAGGUUUCAGCCGCCCCUCGUGGGCGGUGUACUGCCGACGCCGAGUCAUCGAUAGCGAGACGAGGGUUACAAAUGGGAGCGCCUUCGGGCGUUCUCCCCUAACCCUCCACACUGCCACCGACGACAUAAUCCACCCAUUUCACCCGUCUUGAAACACGGACC